UCCCAGUACUCUCUCCCUCAUU
This 22-nucleotide microRNA is filed under the name Pristionchus pacificus. RNAcentral describes it as "ppc-miR-8260-5p". The record is from miRBase by way of RNAcentral. Lineage: Eukaryota; Metazoa; Nematoda; Chromadorea; Rhabditida; Neodiplogasteridae.